This 292-nucleotide ribosomal RNA is filed under the name uncultured eukaryote. Its description in RNAcentral is "partial 18S ribosomal RNA". It matches the Rfam family "Eukaryotic small subunit ribosomal RNA", at positions 6 to 297 of the family's 1831-position model. The record is from RNAcentral.
GGUUGAUCCUGCCAGUAGUCAUAUGCUUGUCCUAAAGAUUAAGCCAUGCAUGUCCAAGUAUAAACCUUUAUACGGUGAAACUGCGAAAGGCUCAUUAAAUCAGUUAUAAUUUACAUGAUGAUGACGAUUACAUGGAUAACCGUGGUAAUUCUAGAGCUAAUACAUGCGCGAGGGUUCUGUAAGGAACUGCAUUUAUUAGAUAAAACCAACGCAGAGGGUGUAAAAACUCACUGAAGUAUGGCGAGUCAUGAUAACUGAGCGGAUCGUAUGGCCGCGUGCCGACGACGCAUCA